RNAcentral lists this small nuclear RNA (78 nucleotides) under Neotoma lepida (desert woodrat). Its description in RNAcentral is "U4 spliceosomal RNA". It matches the Rfam family "U4 spliceosomal RNA", at positions 1 to 77 of the family's 138-position model. From Rfam's summary of the family: U4 small nuclear RNA (U4 snRNA) is a component of the major U2-dependent spliceosome. The record is from Rfam by way of RNAcentral. Lineage: Eukaryota; Metazoa; Chordata; Mammalia; Rodentia; Cricetidae.
AGCUUUGCGCAGUGGCAGUAUCAUAGCCAAUGAGGUUUAUCCGAGGUACAAUUAUUGCUAAUUAAAAAACUAAGACAU